Molecule: long non-coding RNA, 5800 nt
Filed under: Carica papaya (papaya)
Lineage: Eukaryota; Viridiplantae; Streptophyta; Magnoliopsida; Brassicales; Caricaceae
Description: long non-coding RNA (CPAP_LNC009245)
Source: RNAcentral
AUAGAGGGAGAUGGUGUAGAGAUGGAAGGAGGGGUUGCGUGGGUAUCUUGAGAGGAGGAGAGUUGGUUUCAAAGUUUUUCAUUUGAUUGUGAUGUCAUGUCAAUUAUGAGGUUCAAUUACAUAUUUUAUAUUACUAGUGUGCCUCUGUCUAUAGGCAUGAGUUUACAAAAAAUGAAUCAGGAGAAUUAAGUGCAAUUAAUCUAACUAAACUAAAACCAAUUAUUCCCUUGACAAUUAUCAACUCUGAAAUUUGUAAAUAUUGCAAACUGUUUUAUUUUCUGAAAGGGAGUAGCUACUGGUCCACAGCACUCCGUGGGAAACAAAAUCUCAUUAUCCACUAAAAGCAAAAGGUGCUCUACCCUGAUUAUUAUGUGGUAAACAGGCUAGUGAGUUAAAAAAAAGGGAAAAAUGAAGUGAAGUUUUCUGAAAUGGUGCUGCAUGUGCUAAUUUAAGGCACUCUAUGCUAUUGAGAGAGUUUGGAUUUACUUAUGUGAAGAGUUUUGUGAAUGGAGAUUUUGUGAAGAAAAUUCUCCCUUUUUUCUCUUAUUAAUUUCAGGCACCAAAGGGUGCCAUUUAUAGAAGAAAGGUAGGUAUCUUUUCAGGAAUGUAAGGAAGAGGUGAUAACAGAUUUCUGUUGUUACCAUGCCACCUCACCUUCUAGAAGAAUGAUACUUCACCUACUAGAAUUAUUCAACUCUGUAUAACAGAAUGGAGAAUUACAGCAUUUUCUACACUUCCCCUCAAUCUAGUUUACAUAUAUAUCGAGUAGACUUAGAUUUGAUACAAUAUUAUCAAAUAUCUGUUUUGUUAGUGUCUUUGUUAGGAUUUGUUGAUUUGAAGGGAUGUGUAUAAGAGUUAUAGUUCUAUCUUCAAUCUUUUCUUUGAUGAAAUGUCGAUCUAUCUCUACAUGUUUGGUUCUGUCAUGGUGUACUAGGUUUUUGACCAUGCUGAUUGUUGAUUGAUUGUCACACCACACUUUCAUAUAAGUAUCAAUAGAUGUCUUUAAUUCUAGUAGUAUUCUUCUCAACCAUAUCUCUUUACAAAUUCCAUGUGUAAUUGCUCGAAAUUCAGAUUUUGCACUGUUACGGGAUAUUACAGAUUGCUUUUUGCUGCGCUGUGUGACCAGAUUUUCCCACACAUAUUUGCAGUAGCUAGAAGUGGAUCUCCUGUCAGUUAUCGAUCCUGCCCAAUCAGCAUCAGUAAAGACUUCAAUAUCCAUGUUUAUUUUCUUUUGGAAAAUUAGUUCUUGAUCCAGUGUUCUUUUUAGGUGCCUCAAAAUUCUGUACACGGCCUUCAUAUGUAUUUCUGACGGUUGAUUCAUGAAUUGAUUUACUGUACUGACUGCAAAGCUGAUGUCUGGUCUUGUGUGUGCUAGGUAUAUUAGUUUCCCGACCAGUUUAUGAUACAUCUCUUUGUCAACACUUUUCUCACAUUUUGUAGAUCCCAGUUUCGUUGUUGGAUCCAUAGAUGUAUUUGCAGGUUUACAAUCAAGCAUACCUGUUUCCUUCAGGAGAUUCAGGACAUACUUCCGUUGUGAUACGAAAAUUCUUUUCUUAGACCGAGCAAUUUCCAUACCUAGGAAGUACUUGAGCAUUCCAAGAUCUUUAAUUUCGAAUUCUUUGAUUAGAAACUCUUUAAGUUUUCGAAUUUUCUCAAUAUGAUCUCCUGUGAGGAUAAUAUCAUCUACAUACACAAUCAAAAUUGAUCUUUUACUUGAGAUACAAUGUUUGACAAAUAAAGUGUGAUUUGAUUGACAUUGCUCAUACCCAAUAUGUUUUACAGCUCUAGUGAAUCUGUCAAACCAAGCUCUUGGAUAUUGUUUGAGUCCAUAUAGUGAUUUUUUGAGUCUGCAAAUCUUGUGAGACUGAUCGUUUAUUUUCAAACCUGGUGGGAUAUUCAUGUACACUUUUUCUUAUAGAUCACCAUUCAGAAAUACAUUUUUUAUAUCCAGUUGAUAAAGGGGCCAAUCAAGAUUUGCUACAAGAGAGAAUAGUACCCAUAUUGUGUUGUGCUUAGCGACUGGAGUAAAGGCCUUCUGAUAGUUUGUACCAUAGGAUUGAGUAAAACCCUUAGCCAGAAGGCGUGCUUUGAGUCGAUUUACACUCCCAUCUGGGUUAUACUUGGUCGUGAAUAUCCAUUUACAUCUAACUGGUCGUUUUCUUGGAGGUAGCUCAGACAAUUCCCAUGUCUCAUUUUUUUCAAGAGCACUAAUCUCUUCUUGAAUAGCUGUACUCCACUCUGGUAUUUUAAGAGCUUCAUACACUAUUUUUGGUUCUGGAAGACUGCUGUCAAGUUUGCUAACAAAUGCAUGAUGUUUCAAAGAUAGAUUGCCGAAUGAUACAUAAUCUUGUAUGGGAUAUUUUGUGUAUAAUCUGAUACCUUUUCUUACAACAAUAGGUAAGUCAAUAUCAGUAGUAGAGUCAGUAACAAGUACUUUAUUACCUGUUGAUUCCUUAACCGUUGGAGUGGGUACGGAUUCAUGGCAAGUCCUGGUUAGUUUCGGUACUUGUUCUCCAUGAACUUUGUUCCUUCUGGUAUAGACACGUAGCUCAUUUACUGUAGGUAGUGUACACUCAGUUUUUGCUACAGGUUCAGGUUUAGGAUCAGACUCUAGGGGAGGUUAAUUUUGUGGGUAGAUGGAAUGAAUGCUAACAUCCCACACUUGAUAUUCUUGAGUAGAAUGCUCUCCCUGAAUAUCAAUAGUGGGAUAAAAAGACUGAUUCUAAAAAAAAAGUAACAUCCAUUAUAUUAUAGAAUCGUCGUGUAUCCGGAAAAAAACAUUUGUAUCAUUUUUUAUUCGACGAGUAUCCAACAAAGAUAUACUUAAAGACUUUUGGGUCAAGUUUCCCCCGAAGAUGUGAGUGGAUAUGAACGAAAGCAGAAUACUCGAAAACUUUAAGUGGCAGUGAGUGUAAGAUAUGUGAAUCAGGAAAGUUCUGAGAGAGAAGAUCAUAGGUGUUUGAAAAUUCAAAAUACGGAAAGACAUUCGGUUUAUCAGAUAAGUCGCAGUGAGUAUUGCCUCUCCCCAAAGAAACUUAGGAAUAUGGGUAGUGAACAUAAUAGAUCUGGCGACUUCAAGAAUAUAUCUGUUUUUUCGUUCGGUUAUGCCAUUUUGCUGGGGGGUAUAUACACAAGAACUUUGGUGAAUAAUGCCAUGUUCCUCAAAGUAUUUCUCAAGAGUGAUUUCAAAAUAUUCACAGGCAUUAUCAGUUUUAAGUACCUGUGUAGUGGUAUGAAACUGGAUUUGAAUCAUAGUAUUGAAUCUUUUGAAAAUGGCUCCUACUUCCGGUUUUUCUGUCAUUAGGAAGAUCCAAGUAAUUCUAGUGUAAUAAUCAAUAAAUGAUACAAAGCACUUAUUUGUAGAUAUGUUGAUAACCCUGGAAGGUCUCCAAACAUCACUGUGAAUUAAUGCAAACGGUUUGGAAGGCUUGUAUGGUAAACUUGCAAAAGAAUUUCGACUAUAUUUAGAUAUUUGACAUACUUCACAUUGAAACAAAAGUAAAACUUUAUUUCUGAACAAUAAGGGAAACAUCUUUUGUAGAUAUAAAAAGUUUGGAUGACUUAAGCGAUAAUACUAUAAUAUGAUAUCAUGAUCAUUAUUUAAUUGACUCUCAGGAACAGAGUUUGUACAUACUGCCGUUUAAGUUUAUCUUCCAGAAGGGUCUGUUAGAAGGAGAUACAAGCCUGAUUGCAUCCUAGCAUUGUCAAUCAUCCUCCCCGAUCCAAGUCCUGAAAUUCACAUAUUUUUGAACUAAAUUUAGCAAUAGAGUUUUGAUCAACAUAAGUUUGCUAGCCGAUAGUAAAUUGCAGUCCAGUUUUGGUACAUAAAGUACUGAAUGAAGGGUCAACUGUGGUGUUAAAACAAUAGAACCAGUUCCAGCCACUCUGGAGAUUGACCCGUCUGCAAUUUUAAUUAUGAAAUUCUUAUAUGAUGUUUUGUAAUUCUGAAAUAGGGAUACAUUACCUGUCAUAUUGUUUGAUGCUCUAGAAUCAACCACCCAUGUGUUCUGUUUUGAAGAAUAUGCUAUCAAACCAAUUGUUGCUUUACCUUUUUGUGCCACCGAAGCACGCAUGAGCUGAGUAGGUAAACAAUUCUGCUUGAAUAAUUGUUGAAGGACCUCUAUUUGUGCAGCAUUGAAGGGAUUGCUUUCUACAACAUUUUCUUCAACAGUGGAAACAACAAUAUUUUCUUGACGAUUUCCAUUGCUCUCUGUUCUUUCUACCUUGUUCUCGCUGGGUUUCCCGUGUAACUUCCAGCAUUUCUCACGAACGUAGCUGAGUCUCCUGCAGUGAUCACAAUACGGUUUUCCCUUCUUUUCGCGGGAUUCAGACCGCAUGGUGAGUGCAGAUGCACUUUCGGCAGAGUAGGUAGGCUGCGCUUCUCCCAUCCUCACCCGCCUCCUGCUCUCUUUUUUCUGAAUUUCCGCGAACACUUCUCGAAUGUUGGGUAGUGGUUUCAUUCCCAGCACCCGUCCACAAACCUCAUCCAGACUUUUGUUGUGCUCCAUCAAGAAUUUGAAGAUUCUUUUCUGCUCGGUAAAGAGUCUGAACGUCCGAUUAUCAUUUGGACAACUCCAUUGAUGCUCCUCGAAGGUAUCCAGUUGUUGCCAGCUUCGGGUUAGUGAAUUAAAGUAUUGGAUAACAGAAAGCUCACCUUGAUGCAGUUCAUGGAGAGUCAACUCCACCUCGAAGAUGGUGGAGAUGUUAUCUUUGCUGGAGUACGAUUAGCGAGCCACUUCCCAGAUUUCCUUCGUUGUUUCAUAUAGCAUGAAGUUCACACCAAUGUCGGGCACCAUUUAGUUAAUAAGGCACGACAUUACCAUGCUAUUCUCUAUUUUUCAGACACGGAAACUUGGGUUGCUAGUUGCGGGAGGGAUAGUUUCACCUGUGAGGUAAUCAUUGCGGCCCUUGCCGAGAAUAAAUAGUAAGACGGAGGUUGACCAUUGAAGGUAGUUCUGUCCGUUCAGUUUGUGCCCCGUGAUGAACGAUGAUGCCUGCUCAAUUAGGCUGUGAUUCAGAGUUGCUGGGAGGUAGGAACUCGAAGACACUUUGGGAGGAGAGGAAUUGAGCUCGUUUGUGGCCAUUUGAAUUCUGGCCCAGCUAAAGGAAGCUCUUGGAUCAGAGCUCUGAUACCAUGAAAAGUUUUGUGAAUGGAGAUUUUGUGAAGAAAAUUCUCCAUUUUUUCUCUUAUUAAUUUCAGGUCCCAAAGAGUGCCAUUUAUAGAAGAAAACUAGGCAUCUUUUCAAGAAUGUGAGGAAGAGGUGAUAACAGAUUUCUAUUGUUACCAUGCCACCUGACCUUCUAGAAGAAUGGUACUUCACUCACUAGGAUUAUUCCACUCUAUAUAUCAGAAUGGAACAUUGCAGCAUUUUCUACAUUAUGUUAUUUAUCUACUUGGUAAGCAUAUAAGCUCUCAAAACGAAUUCUAUAAAUUAAGAAGUUGCAGACCCGUGGUUAAUUAGCAGAAUAUUUAGAGCUUAUUAUCCAAAAAAAAAAGGUGAUAUAAGGAAAUUUUGUAAGCUAAUUUUUACUUACAAGCCAAGAACUUAGGAGACAAAAGAACUUACUGUACAUUAUCUUUCUCUCAGAAUCAGCGUACCCCCUCCAAAAAAAAGCCAAAUCUGAAUAACCUCAACAUUUAUGCGUACUCCAAUCACUCUGCUUACUCUUUGAAGGACUACACCUUUUGUAAUAACAGACUUGACAUUUUCUGAAAUGUAAAUGGGACAGAUUCAUUAAUUUCACACUUUUUCUUAAACUAGCCUUCUGGAUGUACCAUUGAGUGGUCGUAAAAUGUGAC